CCUACGGGAUGCAGCAGUGGGGAAUAUUGCACAAUGGGGGAAACCCUGAUGCAGCGACGCCGCGUGAGUGAAGAAGUAUUUCGGUAUGUAAAGCUCUAUCAGCAGGGAAGAAAAUGACGGUACCUGACUAAGAAGCCCCGGCUAACUACGUGCCAGCAGCCGCGGUAAUACGUAGGGGGCAAGCGUUAUCCGGAUUUACUGGGUGUAAAGGGAGCGUAGACGGCCAGACAAGUCAGAAGUGAAAGCGCAGGGCUCAACCCUGGGACUGCUUUUGAAACUGCCGUGCUGGAGUGCAGGGGAGGUAAGCGGAAUUCCUAGUGUAGCGGUGAAAUGCAUAGAUAUUAGGAGGAACACCAGUGGCGAAGGCGGCUUACUGGACUGUAACUGACGUUGAGGCUCGAAAGCGUGGGGAGCAAACAGGAUUAGAUACCCUAGUAGUC
Molecule: ribosomal RNA, 440 nt
Filed under: uncultured bacterium
Lineage: Bacteria
Description: partial 16S ribosomal RNA
Rfam family: Bacterial small subunit ribosomal RNA
Source: RNAcentral